RNAcentral lists this ribosomal RNA (253 nucleotides) under uncultured bacterium. Its description in RNAcentral is "partial 16S ribosomal RNA". It matches the Rfam family "Bacterial small subunit ribosomal RNA", at positions 524 to 776 of the family's 1533-position model. The record is from RNAcentral.
UACGAAGGUCCCAAGCGUUAUCCGGAUUUAUUGGGUUUAAAGGGUGCGUAGGCGGGUAAGUAAGUCCGUGGUGAAAUCUCUGAGCUUAACUCAGAAACUGCCGUGGAUACUAUUUGCCUUGAAUAUUGUGGAGGUGAGCGGAAUAUGUCAUGUAGCGGUGAAAUGCUUAGAUAUGACAUAGAACACCAAUUGCGGAGGCAGCUCACUACACAAUCAUUGACGCUGAGGCACGAAAGCGUGGGGAUCAAACAGG